CAAGACAGAUUCAUGGAAGGAGGGUACAGAUUGCUGCUCAUGGGAUGGGGUCACUUGUGACCACCUAAAUGCUCAUGUUAUUGCCCUUGACUUGAGCUGCAGUUGGCUAUCUGGCAACUUCCCUUCCAAUACCACUCUCUUCCUUCUUCCUCACCUUCAAAAACUCAACCUUGCCUACAAUCAUUUCAAUCAUUCCAAAAUUCCAUCCGAGUUCGGUCGGGUUUACAAGCCUAUUCUACCUCAACCUUUCUAAUACAUGGUUUGCAGGAGAAGUCCCAUCCCAAGUCUCGCACCUGUCAAAAUUGGUUUCACUUGAUCUCUCCUCUGAGUUUGGUGAACAAACAAUUGACAAACAUGCUCUGGAGGGACUUGUUCACAACCUAACCGAGGUCAGACAUCUGUUUUUGGAUGGAAUGGACAUGUCUUCUGUUAAUGCUCAUGUCUUCAUGAAUCUAUCCUCUUCUCUAAGGUCUCUCAGUCUUGCUUAUUGUGAUUUGCAAGGAAAAUUCCCAAAAAACAUUUUUGAUUUGCCAAACCUCAAUCUCCUCAACUUGAGAGGCAACCAAAACCUCAAUCUUGAUCCUUUGAAGUUCAAUCGGAGCAGCAAUCUUGAACAUUUGGAUCUGUCGUGGAUGUCCUCCUCUACAGAAUCCAUUGAUUCAGUUGAUAAUCUACAGGCCUUAAAGUACUUAGCUCUAUCAGGAAAUUCUUUCUUUCAACGAUUGUCUGUCUCAAUCACAAAAUUAUCUUAUUUGGAGUACUUGACACUUGAAGGCGCAAAUUUUUUUGGAGGAUUGCCUGACUCGAUGGGGAAUCUCGUGUCCUUGAAGUGUUUAGACUUGAGAUCAAACAAAUUGAGUGGACAAAUUCCAUUGUCAAUUCUAAACCUAACGCAGUUGGAAUACUUGGAUAUAUCUGAAAAUUCAUUAGAAGGUUCCAUUCCAGAUGAGGUAACCGCUUUUCCUAAUCUAAAACAUUUAGACUUAUCUGACAAUUUACUCAAUGGAACACUUCCGUCAUGGUUGUGUACUGUUCCCUCCUUAAAGAUAAUAUUUCUCUUUCAAAAUCAAUUCAGUGGGCAUAUCAAAGAAUUCCAAUCCAAAUCACUAGAAUUGAUAGUGUUACAGAAUAAUAAACUCCAAGGUCCUCUUCCAUCUUCAAUAUUCCAACUUCUCAAUCUUACAUCGCUUGCUUUAUCCUCAAAUAAUCUUAGUGGUGUCAUAGAGUUUAGCAUGUUCUCAAACCUUCCAAAUCUCGAAUAUCUUGACCUUUCAUAUAACAGCCUAUCCUUAACAUCUAAUACUACUUCUACUGUUAAUCAUAUAUUGCCUAAUCUUACAGACGUACUUUUGUCAUCUUGCAAUCUUAGUGAAUUCCCCCAAUUUUUGAAAGGGCUUAAAAGUUUGGAAAGGUUAGACCUCUCUUGCAACAAAAUUGAAGGCAAGAUUCCACAGUGGAUGCAAGAGGUGGGGAAUGUCUCUUUGACUUACUUCAACGUAUCUCACAACUCUUUGACAGAAGUUGAGCACUUUCCAUGGAAGAAUAUUGCAUUUCUUGACUUAAGCUCCAAUUUGGUCAGUGGAAAUCUUCCGAUUCCAGCUUCGACGAUCAGAGUCUUUCUGAUCUCAAAUAAUAGUUUCAAUGGAGAGGUCUCUUCUUUAAUAUGCAAUGCCAGUUCUCUUCAAAUUCUUGAUUUGUCCCACAAUAACUUGAGUGGAACAAUUCCGCAAUGUUUCGGAAAUUUGAGCGACAGCCUUGAAUUCUUGAAUCUGAAGAAGAACAAGUUUUAUGGGACGAUUCCUCCAACAUUUGCAGAGGGAUGCCAGUUGACUAAUUUCAACUUAAAUGGAAAUCUGUUAGAAGGGCCUUUGACACCAUCCAUCCUUAAUUGUAGAGGUCUGGAAGUGCUAGAUCUUGGUAACAACAAGAUCAAUGAUACAUUUCCUCAUUGGUUGGGAAAUCUUCCAUAUUUGCAAGUUCUUGUAUUGAAGUCAAAUCAUAUGCAUGGUUCUUUGCGUGUCAAUAGCUCCAAGUCUAGCCCCUUUUUCUCUAAAAUCCAAAUUUUUGACCUCUCAAGUAAUUAUUUUUCUGGACCCCUACCUGUGAGGUACAUCAACAGCUUCAAGGCUAUCAGAAAUCUAGAGAAGAUUCGUAGUACAGUGUCGUACAUGGGGGUGAAUGGUCGGAAUGGUAGUGGCUUCUAUACCUAUUCCAUUGGAAUUGUUAUGAAAGGACAAGAUAUGGAAUUGGUGAAAAUUUUCACCAUGUGGAUGAUCAUUGAUCUAUCAAACAAUCAGUUUGAAGGGGGUAUUCCAGAGGUUUUUGGAAAGCUUAACUUACUGAAAGGGCUCAACCUUUCUCAUAAUAACCUUAGUGGUGGUAUCCCCACCUCAAUAGGGAAUUUGACAAGUCUUGAAUGGUUGGACCUAUCUUCAAACAGGUUGUCUGGGACGAUUCCAAAUAGAUUGGCAGAUCUGGCAUUUCUUUCGUCCUUCAAUGUUUCUGAAAAUCAACUCCAUGGUCAGAUUCCUCAAGGAAAACAAUUCAACACAUUUGGAAAUGAUUCAUAUCAAGGGAAUAAGGGACUAUGUGGGUUUCCAGUCUCGAAAGGUUGCAACAUCAUUGAGCCAGCACCUCCAAAUGUGCUUGAAAAAGAUGGCUCAAAAUCAAACAUUACUUUUGGUUGGAAAGUGGUGUUGAUAGGUUAUGGAUGCGGAGUGGUGUUCGGAAUGUCCGUGGGAUAUGUUGUUUUCCAAACUGGUAAGCCGAAAUGGUUGGUGAAUUUGGUUGAAAUCCAACAUGAGAAGAUGCGAAGAAGAAAGUCAAAGGAUGGCAGUCGCAGCAAUGGACGAAGAAGGAUCUAGUUAGUGGAAAUGGUGUUCAAGUGUUGAUGUUGUAUCUUCAUAAUUUCUUGUUUUGAAGUCUUUCAAUUUUUUUCCUAUGGUGAAAGGUUGCAUUGCCAUGCAUCUGUCUUUAUUAUUGUAACAAUUCAUCUAUAUUUCAUUGCAUUACGUCCUAUAACAUUUUGUAUGGUUCAACCAUUUAUAUCUUCUUUCAUGACUUCCAUUUUUGAGUCUCAAUAAUCUCUGCAUUCAAGAUUUUGUCAGCUUAUUAAUUGGUGGAUCAAUAAUCUUCAUGCUCAUCUCAUCAUCUUUUUCUCGAGUUUCUUCUGUGUGGAAAAUAAUUUGACAUUCUGCAAAUUUCCACAAUGCUUGUGGAUUACCUUUGGUUAACAGCUAUACAUAUAAAGGAAGAAAACAAGACCAUGUCCAAAUUUCCAAAAAUUAGCCAUUGAUUUUUGAACAGUUAAACUUUCGUAUUCUAUUUUUUAAAAUUGUAAAUUCUCAAAUAAUGUAAAUUAGUCCUAAAACUCAAGUUUUGAAAUCUUUACAAUUUAACCCCUUAUAGUUUCAAACUUUACUGUUUUAUACUCAACUUUCUAAAUUUUCAUAUUUCAUGAUCAUAUAAUUUAGUUACUACAUCAAUAUUUGAGAUUUCACUACUCAAACCCUUACUUCAUUUCGGUCGUUACUUCAAUUUUAUCAAAUUACAUCAUUUUUCAAUUUGAAUGCAUUGAUGUGAAAUUGAGGGACCACUAAACAAUGUUGAUGAGAGUUUAGGCAAAAUUGGUGGAUCCGAUCUCCUUAGUAAUUUCUUUGUGGAAGUACCUACUUUCACAAUGCAAACUUGGAUAGUUUGUGGUGGACGAUGAUGAAUCAUUUCACAGUCAAACACAUAAUUUUUAAACACAAAAUUAACGAUAUAUUGAAAUCAUUAUUGAAAUUAUAAUCAAAAUUAAUACAUGUUCUUUUUAUUAGCUUAAGGGCGUAAAAACCCUUCAAAAUUUUCAAAAAAAAAAAAAAUUUAAGUCCUUUUUUUCUACUCAAUUGAGCACUUAAACUUUUAAAAUGUAUCAAAAAUAUCUUUACACUUCUUCAAAAAAAGCAAUUAAACCCCUUUUUUUUUCCGCUCAAUUGGGUACUUGAACUUUCAUAAUGCAUAAAAAAAACCUUAAAUUUUUUUUUCAAAGAAACAAUUAAGCCUCUAUUUUUUUCCCACUCAAUUGGGUACUUGAACUUUCAUAAUGCAUCAAAAAGGCCUUUAUUUUUUUUCAAAAAAGCAAUUAAGCCCCUACUCUUAUUAAAAAUUAGAAAAAAUCAUAAAAAUAAUAAAGUUCAAGUACCCAAUUGAGUGCCAAAAAAUAAAGUAGGGGCCUAAUUGCUUUUUUUUGAAAAUGUUUGAGGGUCUUUUUGAUGUAUUUUGAAAGUUCAAGUACCCAAAUGAGUGCAUAAAAAGAACAGGGGUUUAGUUGCUAUUUUUGAAAAAGUUUGCACCCUUAAACCUCUUUUCUUUUUCUUUUUCAUAUGUGGCCUUGUUUGCUACAACUUAGUUGCUAAGUUAAAGGGAGUGAAUAGAGCACCAUUUUCUUCUUCUGCGUGGAAAAUUAAGUUGGCAUUAUGCCAAUUUCCACAUUCAUACAUACAAAGGAAGCAAGAGCAAGUCAAUAUACUUUGUAAUCUCAUCAAUUCUAAUUUUUAAAGUGUUGUUUACUACACACUUAGGGACCAUAUAUGUAUAUAUAUACAUUGCAGUCUGGGUCUUUGUCGUGUUUUGUUGGUUGGCUAUGGCCUUCUUGUUGUUUCCACUGUCUGCGGUGUUUGUUUCUAAGUCAUAUGUGGCCCUGUUUGCUACAACUUAGUUGCUAAGUUAAAGGGAGUGAAUAGAGCACCAUUUUCUUCUUCUGCGUGGAAAAUAAGUUGGCAUUAUGCCAAAUUCCACAUUCAUACAUAUAAAGGAAGCAAGACCAAGUCAAUAUACUUUCUAAUCUCAUCACUUCUUCUUUCUUUAGGGAGUUCAAGUGAAAUACAAAUUUUUUCACAUCCAAUCUCAUAAAUAAUCCGUCUUUGAACUUUCACCAAAAAAUAUUAAAUACCCAUUCACUUCAAUUCUACUAUUCUUAAAUCAUUAAAGUUUUGUGGAAAAUAUGCUUCUUGGAUAAAAUUAUUCAACACACAUGCCUUGAAUUUUAUGCAAAUAAAAUAAAUGAAUAUAGGCCACACAUGCUUUGAAUUUUUAAGUAGUCCAUAAUUUUGUUCGUUUGUGUGCAAAAUUCUACAUUGCUUGACAGCCAUACAUACUAAGUAAAUAGACACCCACAUUGUUUACAUAUUAUGAGGAAGAAGACCAAGUCAAUCUACUUUGUAAUCUCAUCAAUCUUAAUUUUUUCAGUUGUUUAGGGAGUUCAAAUGAAAUACAAAAUUUUGAAAAAAAAAUGUAUCCAAUUUUGUGAAUGAAAAAUUUAUGGUAAAAAGGAUUUGGUAUGGAUACUUCAGCCCGGGUAGCAAUACUCAGGGUAAGUUUAUCAAUACAUUGCUUUUGGUUGGAAAGUGGUGUUGAUAGGUUAUGGAUGCGGGGUAGUGUUUGGAAUGGCCAAAAUAUAGCAAUCGCAUCAGUGGAUGAAGAAGGAUCUAGUUGGUGCAAAUGAAGUUAAAGCAUUUCUGCCGUCUCUUCAUAAUUUCUUGUUUGGUAGUCUGUCAGAAAGUUUUUCCUAUGGUGAAAAGUUUGAGUUGCAUUUAUAAAAUUUCCACUGUCAAAAGAUUCGAUUGCACUGCAGGGUAACAUAUUUAAGAUUGGAUUACACUGUCAAAAGAUUGCAGCAACGAUGAGAUUAAUCCAAUUACAGGAAUUGGUAUCCUAAAUGGCUUUUUGGUACGUAGCUUCAUUGACGGUACAAACUAGUUAAAAUUUCCAGCAUUCAUGUGUUUGUUUUCCCUCAAGUAAACGUAGUCAAUACUGCAAAUGGUGUGGAAGUACUGUACAUUGUGGCCCAAAUGUCCAAAAUUUCCACAUUGCAUGUAAAUUAAGUUUGCGUGAGAGAGAUAGGAGGAAGCAACAGCAAGUGUGAAGUCAAUAGACAACUGAUAGUCUUAGUCUUUUUUUGUCGAGUUAAAGUGUAGUCAAUAGACAAUUGAUAGUCUUAGCCCUUUUUGUGGAGUUAAAAGUAUAGUCAAUAAACAAUUGAUAGUUAAAUUUGUAGCAUUCUUCUUCCUCUUUAUUCUUUUGUGUGGAAAAUUAUUUGGGACCAAACUUGACGUGUUAUAAGGAAGAAGACUUUGUAAUCUCAUGAAUGUUAAUUAUUUUACUUCUUUGGUAAAAAAAGUAACCAAUUUUAUGAAUGAAAAAUAUUAUGUGGUAAAAAGGAAGUAGUUGUUCAUCACUAACAAUAUGAUGAUUGUGGAAAUACAAAAAAUCCCAUAUAUGUGUUGAAUUCUGCAUAAUAUAAAUGUCCUGCAUUGCAUGUGAAUUCUGCAAUAGACCAAACUUUACGUGUUAUAGUCCUUUAAACUGAGUUAAUGAAAAGUAACCAUUCUUAUCAAAUUUAGUUAUACUCUUAAUUUAUAACAAAGGAAAGAGUAAUUUGAGUUUAACUCAAAGGUUAAUAUGUCAUCAAUGGGUGAUGGCGUGGCGCUACCAUGUCAGCGAUUAUUUUCUUCUUUGAAUUAAGGUGAUUUCACCAAUUUUAGUUUACUUUUUUACUUCAAUUUAGGUUUAUGCUUAUUAGCUUCAAAGAUUCUAAGUGGGUGCCACAAUCAAAGGGUGAGUAAAAAGGGUUAAAAAUGAUUUUUUUAAAAUUUUUUUAUUUUUAUUAAAAAUUUAGAAUUAGAAUUAGACAAAUUUUGUAAAAGUUAAGGGCUAACUUUAUUGAUUUUUUUUUCAGAAUUCGAACUAAAAUUACAUUUUGUAAAAAGAGCUAAAUUUGUUGAGUUUUUUAUAUUUAGGAUCAAAUUGAUAGAAUGUGUAAAUAUUAGAGGUUAAAUUUGUUAUUAGAUCAAUAAAAAAAACCCACAUUAGCUUUGCGUCACUCAUCUAACGACAACUAAAGGGAGAGUUAUUAAAAUAUUUAAUUUCAAAAAGUUUAGCAACUAAAUUGGAAAAUUUAAUAGUUGGGUGACUAUUUUUGCAGUUUACUACUUUUUUGGUCACCUGACUAUUAAGUGACACUUUUUAGUUGGUAUAAUAAUAAUUUUAGUCCUCAAUUUUUAUACUUUCUGUCAAUUUGACUCUGAUUAUAUAAAAUGAUUACAAAAGUGAAAUUCUUUUUAAAAUUUACAAAAUUCUAAAAAUUAAAAAUUAAAUGAAAGUAGAUAAAAAUUUCAAAUAUAAACAAAGUGAGAGAAAAUGAGGGAAAUAUUAUUUUUAAACCCUCCAACUUUUCUUUGUAUUAUCGUAAAGAAAUAUCUAAUAUCCAUUCUUUUAGAAAACAUAGAAAAAAGUAAAAAAAAAAAGAUUCAGUAAAAUUAUCUGUAUAUAAUCUGCUUUUAUAAUUUGGGUUUUUAAAAAUAAAUUUAAAUGAAUUGAAAAUUCGAAUUGAGUUUGAAAAAUAAAAUUUUGUGGUAUAUUUUAUAUUUUUGCUAGAAAAAUGGCAUCAAAGUUGAUUUUGUAAGCUUUUGUAAUAUCAGUUACGGAUGUUCUUCAAGGGCAUGGAACUCAACUUGAAAAUUUUACUAAUUUGGUUGCAAAAAACAUUGAGGAAGCAUAUAAUGAUCUAACCUUUUUUGUUUUGUUUUGUUUUUAAUUUGUUAUGGGAUUCUAUUGAAUGAUAAUUUUUUUUUUAUUUCCCAUACAUAUUAGUUCUUCAAAAACAACAUAUUCGAGAUUUUAUUUUUCUAGAAUUUUUAUAUAGAAGUUUAUAUUUUUUAAAAUAAAUUUGAGUUUUUUUUAGAAUUUUUAUAUAGAAUCGAGGUAAAUUGGAAAAAAAAAUUAUAAAAACAAAAUACUAAAAUUGUUAUUAUAGCAACUAAAAAGUGUCAUUUAACAAUAGGGUGACCAAAUUGUAACUUUUUUAGUUAAGUGACCAAAACGAAGAUUUACCCAUAGUUUAGUGGCUAAUUAUGUAGUUUACCCUUUCAUAAUUAAAAAAUAGUUGUUAAGUUUUUCUUGUAUUAGAUAACAAUUUAGAUGGUAAAAACCCUCUUUAGUCCCUCUCAAUUUUGAUAUUAAGUAAAAUUGUCCAUUUAAAAAAAAAAUCAAAGCAAUUUAAUAUUUGUUAAUUUCGAAAGUGAGCAACUAAGGACAAUUAAUCACAAUGUCAAUAUUUUCCAUCAAUUGUACAUAUUUUUAUUGGUGUAAUAACAAAUUUAGCUCUCAAAGUUUACACAUUCUGUCAAUUUAGUCUUGAUUUAACAAAUUUAACCCGCAACAAUUACAUAUUCUAUUAACAUUGACACAUAAUAUAUAAACAUUGAGAGCUUAAUUUGUUAUUGUAUCAAUAAAAAUUAUGUACAAUUUACAGAAAGCAUUAACACAAUGAUUAAUUGUCCUUAGUUGCUCCCUUUCAAAAUUGAUCAUGAUUAAAUUGCUCUAAUUUUCUGAGAGGAACCAAUUUGUUCAAUAUAGAAAUUGAGAGGGACGAGAAAUGUGUUUUUUUAUCCAUUUUAGAUACCAACAAGUGUUUGGCAUAGUCGCAAGACAUAUUACAUUCUCAAGGAGAGAAUGCGUAGUCAAACGUUGGAGAUAUCAAUGUUGUGUGGGGUAUCCAAGGAUCUCGAACACGAACUGUAAAACAUAUAUAAAGAAUAAAAAAAUAACAUCUUAAUUUAAAUAAUUAUAAAUUUUAAUUUGAAAAAAGUAUUUUGAGAAACAUAAGUUUUAGAAGUAGUAAAAUUGAAUCGAUAAAACAUGUCCAUUAUAUCAGAAUCAUAAAAAUACAACUUAAUUAAUUUGAAUUUAAACUUAACUCAACUCGACUUGAUUAUAAAAACUGAUAAUUUGAAUUCAAAAUGACAUGAUCUUGAAAUGAUUUGAAUUAAUUGUCAGACCCGAACGACAAAACUCGAAAUGAUGCAAUCCAAAAACACAAAUCAAGUGAACUAAACUACGAAAAAAAAAACCUUACACUGACUCAAAUCCAAAAUAGUUUAAUCCUAAAAUAACCUAAAUUUUAUAUAAUAAAAACUCGAAAUAACCCGAAAAUUUUUAAAUUAAAAUUGAUCCGACCCAAAUUCACACCACCUAAAAUCAAUCGUAACCACCUAAUUAAAAAGCAUGAAAUGAAAUGAUGUAAAGAGAAAAUCAGAGAAAACCAAAUAGAAAGUAACAAGCCUUUUUCAGAAUUGAAAGCAAAUUCCGUACAUUCACGACAUGCAUAAAACAACAAUGGUUUAUAGAAUUUAAAAAUUUUAGUUUAAUCAUUUAUGUUGGUUGUAGUUUCCGUUAGCUUAAUCAACAUGUUAAAUUACUAAAUUUUGACAAAAAAUACUUACGAGUUUAAUGAUUGUACCGAGAUUUUUAAAUAAAAAAGUCGGAAGACUAAUUUCUAACCUUUUAAAUAUAGGGACUAAAAGCAUCUUUUAACUUUGAUAUUAUUAUUAUAAGCAGGGAUAAUGUCACCUUUGGCAUCUGUACUUUCAUAAAAUGUCUAGUGGUACAAGUACUUUGAAAAUAUAUAAUGUGGUACCUGAACUAUCAAUAGGUGUUAUUAUUAUGGUACAUGUACUUUGAAAAUGUUUAAUGUGGUACCUAAACUAUCAAUAUAUAUUUUAUUAUGAUACUUGAUAAAGACGGACUAUGGUGGCUUAGGGGGCUCUUUGUCCCGCCACCCUUGCAAAAAAAAAAAUCGAAGAAUUUUGUUUUUUCCUUUAAAAUUUUUAGAAAAUUUCAAUUAGGCCCUCAAAAUUUUUGAAAAUUUUCAUUAUACCUUUUAAUUUUUUUGAAAAUUUUAAUUAAGCACUCUUAAAUUUUGAAAAUUCUCAUUAAUCUCACAAAAAUUUUAAAAUUUUUUAUUAGACCCCCAAUUUUUUUUAAAAAAAAUCUUAUUAAACCAUUAAAUUUUUAGCAAAUUUUACCUGCCCCCUCCCCCCCAAAAAAACCUAGUCCCAACUACUAGUAUCCGCCAUUGUUACUUGGUAUUAACACUGUUAGAAAAUUGCUAAAUCAACCAAUAAAAAUUUGACACAUAGAACCCUUUUUUUAAUUAUCAAGUCCACGUGGAUAAUAUAAUAGUGAAAAACUAAAUAAAAAAUAAUUAAAUCUGCUUAUUUACGAAAAUGAUGGAUUUAGUCCUUAUACCUUAAUUUGAUCAAUUUUAGUCAUUGUAUUUUUUGAAUUGGUCAAUUUUAAACUAUUUACUUUUUGAAGUUUGAAAUUUUAGUCUUGAUCCAAAUAAUAAUAAUAAUUAAAUCUGCUUAUUUAAAUUCAAUUAUUAGUUUUGUAUUAUGUAGAUAGUUAUAAAUUUAGGGUGGGUUUGGAUGGGCUGUGCUUUUACCUGCAGUUAGUGUAAAAAUAGCGGCGGUGGUGAGAUUAGAUAUCCAAGGUACCUAAUUUUUAUUUUGGCCAUAAGUACUACUAAAACUAUUCUUCCGUUACCCAUUUUAUACCAAAAUGUUAUAUCGGCUAAAAAGAUUCCAACAAAUAAUAGAUUGUAUGUCAUAUAAACUUUUUUAAAAAAUCAUUAAUUAAUUAAUUUUUAUAUUUUUCUUUCUUAUUCCUUUAUAAUGUUUGACAAUGUCGAUAAUGCUUGAAAUUGGCCCACUUGAGGUCGAAACGCUGGUGAUUAAUUUUGGUUUUGAAUUUCACCACCUACUUCUCUGACCAGAGGGGAUAGAAAAAGUUCUUUCAUCGAUCAAAACUAGUAUUUUCAAAAACAGACUGAUUCUACGGGUUGGAUAGGAAAUCGGUUUGGAAAUAGGGGUUGAAUCGAUUGACUUGCGAACAAAAACAAAUCGGUUGAACUAAGCUAAAAAAACUGGUUGAAUAAGUUCUCUCUUUUUAUAUAUAUAUAAAUAAUAAUAGACUUUGUUUUUACUACAUGUCAAUUUUUAAUUGGUUAAUUUUUUUUUCAUAUAAAUUGAACAAUUUGACUAAUGACGGAGGUACCAAAUUAUAGUCUAGGUACCAAUUUAUGGGUUAAGCCUAUUUAUAAAAUAGACUUUUGACAGUUUGACUAAUGGCGGUAGUAACUUGGGAAAAAAAAAGUAGUUUAUGUACCACUUGUGACAAAAAAUAAGAUUAGGUACCAACAUGGGAAAAUGAGUAUAAUUUAGAUACCGAUUUAUGAGUUAAGCCUAAUAUAUUUGUCGCAUAAUUUUUUGAAAAUAACAGAACUUAAUAAAUUUAACGGUUAUUGUUUGGUGAUUACUAAAAUUUUAAAAUUUGAAAAGUACAUGAACUAAAAAUGACCAAAUUAAAAUAUAAAUAUUAAGUCCACAACUUUUGCAAAGUACAAGGACUAAUUGCAGAAAUUAACCUAAAUUUCAUAUGGGUCAAUUACAAAAAUAAUCACUAAACUAUCCCUUUGGUUCUAUUCUAGCCACUCAACUAUAUAGGUGCUCAUGAGCUUGGCCAGGUCAGGCCUAAGUAAGGGUGAGCAUUCGAUUGAAUCGAAAAUUUUCGAGUUAAUCGAGUUUUCGAAUCUCAUUUUAUCAUCCUAACUUUAUUUGAAGUUUUCUCGAAUCGAGUCGAGUGAGAUGGAAUUCGAAUCGAAUCGAAUCGAAUCGAAUAUAUUUGUUCGAGUUAAAUUUUAAAAAAUAAUUUUGGGUCCUUGUAACCAUUGUCACCCAUCGUAAUAAAAUUUGUCCACCUUAAUCAAAUUUUUUAUUAACUUUCAUCACUUCAUAAUUUAUUUAUUAAUUUUUUAUAUACUGGUUAGCUUCUUUGCUUGCUUAGUUGUCUUCAGAUUCUUGUCACUAUGUAUUUUAGAAUUAAAAAAUAUAUUAAAUGUAAAAAUAUGAUUUUUUAAUAAAAGUUAUUUUAAAAAUAAAAUGUGAAAUUGAUACCAAUAUAAAAUUUCAACACGAAUAUUUUAAGGCAUAAUUAAUAAUUCAAUUUUAAUAUAAAUAUUCAAUAUGACUAAACAAUUCAAUAAUAUAAAUAAUAUAAAAUGUGAAAUUUAAUUUAAUAAUAUAAAUAGUAGAUAUAAAUAAAAUUAUUGCUAUUUAUGUUUAGUGAUUUUUUUGGAUAAUUUUGAUUUUUUAUUUGAGAAUAAAAGGUGAGAAGUAAAAGUUUAGGGGAAAAAUAAAAAGUUUUGGGGAAUAAAAGUUUGAGAGAAAGUAAAUAGGGGGAGUAAAAUUUUGGAGGGAAAAUAUUUAAAAAAAAUUGGAGGGGGGAGGGUUUGGGAUAGAUGGGAGGGGAAUAAAAGUUUUAGGGGAAAAGUGGGAGGGAGUAAAAAUUUUGGGAGAAAAUAAAAGGUUUUGAGGGUUUUGGGGAGUAAAAUAUUGAGAAAAAAUAAAUAGGAGAGUAAAAUUUUGGUGGGAAAUGGAUUUUGGGUAGAUUGGGGGGUUGGGAGGGGAGGGGAGUAAAAGUUUUGGGGGGAAAGUGGGAAGGAGUAAAAGUUUUGAGGGAAAAGUAAAAAGUUUGGGAGUUUGGGGUAAAAAUGUAAAAUAUUAUAGUUUGAUAUUCGAAUUAUUCGAAUUAUUCGAGUUAUUCGAAUUCGAAAACUCAACUCGAUUCGAACUCGAAAUUCGAAAAAAAAUUCGAGUUGAUUCGAAUAACUCGAUUCGUUUAACUCGAAAUUUGAAUUUUUUUCAAUUUUUUCGAGUCGAAUCGAGUUUUGCUCACCCCUAGUUGCAAGUGCAACUUGCGUGGUGGCUGCCAGAAGGACUGAAUCGUAAAUGUAGCAAAAGUUUUGGGGCAAAAAUGUAAUUUUGAGAAAGUUUAGGGUCAAAAUAUAAUUUUAAAAAAUAUUAAGGGUUAAAAUAUAAUUUUAUAAAAAUUUAAGGGUCAAAAUGAAAUUUUAGAAAAGUUCAGAGGUCAAAAUACAAUUUUUAAAUUUUUUUUUAAAAAAAAAACACGAAAUUAUUCCCACAAAAUUAAGUGAUUACACGUAACUUUUCAAUGUAAAAGAAAAAAAAGACUGUAACACCAAUGUUGUGGUGUUAUUUGUUGCCUAUAAAUACCAUUCCUAUUCUUCAUCUUCCUCUGCAAACAUAACAUGGCCCCCUAUCUCUUUCUCUGCCUAUUCCUCUUCUUUCCCCGUCUUUAUGCUUCUUUUUCUUCUUCAGGAUAUCAGUCCUGCUCUUCAUUAAUCCAGUUUAAGGACUCUUUUUCCAUAACAGAGGAUGCUUCUUCUGAUUGCAAUGAGAUUGCUGGCCUUAAAUCUUAUCCCAAGACAAAUUCAUGGAAGGAGGGUACAGAUUGCUGCUCAUGGGAUGGGGUCACUUGUGACCACCUAAAUGCUCAUGUUAUUGCCCUUGACUUGAGCUGCAGUUGGCUAUAUGGCAACUUCCCUUCCAAUACCACUCUCUUCCUUCUUCCUCACCUUCAAAAACUCAACCUUGCCUACAAUGAUUUUAAUCUUUCCAAAAUUCCAUCCGAGUUCGGUCGGUUUACAAGCCUAUUCUACCUCAACCUUUCCCAUACAGAGUUUGAAGGAGAAGUCCCAUCCCAAGUCUCCCACCUGUCAAAAUUGGUUUCACUUGAUCUCUCCUCUCGGAUUGAUUACUCUGGGCAAGUUACAAUUGACAAACAUGCUCUGGAGGGACUUGUUCACAACCUAACCGAGGUCAGACAUCUGUUUUUGGAUGGAAUGGACAUGUCUUCUGUUAAUGCUCAUGUCUUCAUGAAUCUAUCCUCUUCUCUAAGGUCUCUCAGUCUUGCUUAUUGUGAUUUGCAAGGAAAAUUCCUAAAAAACAUUAUUGAUUUGCCAAACCUCAAUCUCCUCAACUUGGGACGUAACCAAAACCUCAAUCUUGAUCCUUUGAAGUUCAAUCGGAGCAGCAAUCUCGAACAUUUGGAUCUGUCGUGGAUGUCCUUCUCUACAGAAUCCGUUAAUUCAGUUGAUAAUCUACAGGCCUUAAAGUACUUAGAUCUAUCAGGAAAUUCUUUCUUUCAAGGAUUGUCUGUCUCAAUCACAAAUUUAUCAUCUUUGGAGCAAUUGAUAAUUUCAGGCGCAAAUUUUUUUGGAGGAUUGCCUGACUCGAUGGGGAAUCUUGUGUCCUUGAAGUUUUUAGUUCUCUCCGAUUCCAACUUUUCAGGACCGCUUCCAAGAUCACUGGGAAACCUCUUUCAACUCAAGUGUUUAGACUUGAGAUCAAACAAAUUGAGUGGACAAAUUCCAUUGUCAAUUCUAAACCUAACGCAGUUGGAAUACUUGGAAAUAUCUGAAAAUUCUUUAGAAGGUUCCAUUCCAGAUGAGGUAACCGCUUUUCCUAAUCUAAUAUAUUUAUACUUAUCUGACAAUUUACUCAAUGGAACACUUCCGUCAUGGUUGUAUACUGCUCCCUGCUUAAAGGAAAUAUAUCUCUCUCAAAAUCAAUUCAGUGGGCAUAUCAAAGAAUUCCAAUCCAAAUCACUAGAAUUGAUAGCGUUAGAGAGUAAUAAACUCCAAGGUCCUCUUCCAUCUUCAAAAUUCCAACUUCUCAUCCUCAAGUAAUCUCAGUGGUGUCAUAGAGUUUCGCAUGUUCUCAAACCUUCCAAAUCUAAAACUUCUUGACCUUUCAUACAACAGCCUAUCCUUAGCAUCUAAUACUACUUCUUGUGUUAACCAUAUAUUGCCUAAUCUUACAGACUUACGUUUGUCAUCUUGCAAUCUUAGUGAAUUCCCCCAAUUUUUGAAAGGGCUUAAAAGUUUGAAAAGGUUAGACCUCUCUUGCAACAAAAUUGAAGGCAAGAUUCCACAGUGGAUGCAAGAGGUGGGGAAUGGCUCUUUGACUUACUUAAACGUAUCUCACAACUCUUUGACAGAAGUUGAGCACUUUCCACGGAAGAAUAUUGAAGUUCUUGACUUAAGCUCCAAUUUGAUCAGUGGAAAUCUUCCGAUUCCAGCUUCGACCAUCAAUGUCUUUUUGAUCUCAAAUAAUAGUUUCAAUGGAGAGGUCUCUUCUUUAAUAUGCAAUGCCAGUUAUCUUAAAAUUCUUGAUUUGUCCCACAAUAACUUGAGUGGAACAAUUCCGCAAUGUUUUGGAAAUUUGAGCAACAGCCUUCAAUUCUUGAAUCUGAAGAAGAACAAGUUCUAUGGGACGAUUCCUCCAACAUUUGCAGAGGGAUGCCAAUUGACUAAUUUCAACAUAAAUGGAAAUCUGUUAGAAGGGCCUUUGACACCAUCCAUCCUUAAUUGUAAUGAACUGGAAGUGCUAGAUCUUGGUAACAACAAGAUCAAUGAUACAUUUCCUCAUUGGUUGGGCAGUCUUCCAUUUUUGCAAGUUCUUGUAUUGAAGUCAAAUCAUAUGCAUGGUUCCUUGCGUGUCAAUAGCUCCAAGUCUAGCCCUUUUUUCUCUAAAAUCCAAAUUUUUGAUCUCUCGAGUAAUUAUUUUUCUGGACCUCUACCUGUGAGAUACAUCAACAGCUUCAAGGCUAUCAUAAAUCUAGAUAAGAUUGGGAGUACAAUGUCGUACAUGGGGGUGUAUGCUCAGAGAGGUAGUGGCUUCUAUACCUAUUCCAUUGGAAUUGUUAUGAAAGGACAAGAUAUGGAAUUGGUGAAAAUUUUCACCAUGUGGAUGAUCAUUGAUCUAUCAAACAAUCAGUUUGAAGGGUGUAUUCCAGAGGUUUUUGGGAAGCUUAACUUACUGAAAGGGCUCAACCUUUCUCAUAACAACCUUCAUGGUGGUAUCCCCACCUCAAUAGGGAAUUUGACAAGUCUUGAAUGGUUGGACCUAUCUUCAAACAGGUUGUCUGGGACGAUUCCAAAUAGAUUGGCAGAUCUGGCAUUUCUUUCGUCCUUCAAUGUUUCUGAUAAUCAGCUCCAUGGUCAGAUUCCUCAAGGCAAACAGUUCAACACAUUUGGAAAUGAUUCAUAUGAAGGAAACAAGGGAUUAUGUGGAUUUCCAGUCUCGAAAGGUUGCAACAUCAUUGAGCCAGCACCUCCAAAUGUGCUUGAAAAAGAUGGCUCAAAAUCAAACAUUACUUUUGGUUGGAAAGUGGUGUUGAUAGGUUAUGGAUGCGGAGUGGUGUUCGGAAUGUCCGUGGGAUAUGUUGUUUUCCAAACUGGUAAGCCGAAAUGGUUGGUGAAUUUGGUUGAAAUCCAACAUGAGAAGAAGCAAAGACGAAAGUCAAAGAAAGGCAAUCGAAGCAAUAGACGAAGAAGGAUCUAAGUACAGCAAAUGAUGUUCAAGAAUUAGUGUUGUAUUUUCAAAAUUUCUUGUUCUGUAGACCGUUUUGCCCAUGGUGAAGGGUUGCAUUGGUAUGUGUAUGUCUUUAUUAUUGUACCAAUUCCUGUCUUUCAUUGCAUUUCGUACUAUCUGUAAUGGUUUGUUUGAGUGUAACAUUUUGUAUGGUAUUGUUGUUUAUGUCUUCUUUCAUGACUUUCCAUUUAGUCUCGAUAAUCUUUGCUACUGCUCAGUAAAGGAGGAAGGAGAAUAAAAUGUCUCAAUUUAUGUCAAUUUAUGCUUGCAGAUUUGACGUGGAAUGUUGUUGAACUGAAGGUUGUUUAACUUUUGUCUUCUAAGCUAUACAUGAACAUAUGGGAUGUGACAAAUAUUAUUUUAGCUUUUGCUUAUGAAAUGUUGAAAUAGUGAGUUUAUAUUCCUUGAUUAAUAAAAAGUGAGAUGGAGAUAGUCAAACCUCAAUUUCCACAUUGAAAUUGAAUCCAAACAUUAAUUGGUGGAUCACAUGUCUUGUAUUCUGUCAAGUUAAAGGGAGUGAAUAGAGCACCAUUCUUCUUCUGCGUGGAAAAUAAGUUGGCGUUAUGCCAAUUUUCACAUUCAUACAUAUAAAGGAAGCAAGACCAAGUCAAUAUACUUUGUAAUCUCAUCAUUUCUUCUUCAUUCUUUAGGGAGUUCAAAUGAAAUACAAAUUUUUGGUAAAUCAACUCUUCUUUUUUAUGAAUAAAAAUUAUAUGGUAAAAAGGAAGUGGUGUUAAUAAUAAUAAUAAUAAUAAUAAUAAUAAUAAUAACAACAAUACAAAACUAAUAAAGCAAUUUAGUCUAUGAUUUGCACAAUGAUUAAUGUAGCGACCUAAAAAUUUAGGCACGAGCGCUAAUUGAAGUGAUUAUUGAAAAUUUGAAAACAGAAUCUCGAUUUUAUUUGAAAAAGGAGUCGCUAUCGAUCUUUUUUUCUAGGUGUGAUCGGACACCUAAUAAAUUCUCUUUUUAGAAGAAAAAUUUAUUUUUAAAUUUUUCUAAAAAUAGGUAAUUUUUCUAAAAAAUUUAGGGGUCAAAAUGUAAUUUUUUUUUUUUUGAAUUUUUUUUGAAAUUUAAAAAAAUAUAUAUAUAAACACGACAAAACCCGGACAAAAUUUAGUGCUUACAAUUAAUACCUAAUUUGAUCCUUGAAUUAUAGUUCAAAAAGUAUUUUUAUAUUUUUAAAUUUUCAUAAAAAUAAUUGUAUCAAAAUUUAAAAAUCUUAAAAAUAAAUACAAAUUUUAUAUAAAAAAUCAAUUGGCCCAAGAAAAAAAAUUUACCAACUAAAUUUUCCAUAUCCAAACUCAUAAAUAAUUCUUCUUUGAACUUUCACAAAAAAAUAUUAAAUACCCUUUCACUUUAUCAUUAUAAAUAUAAUAUACAUUUUUUUCCUUCUUUUUCAUGUAGAUCAGCUUCAACUCUACUAUUCUUAGAUCAUUAUAAAUAUAAUAUAUGUUUUAUUUACAGCUGAAAGUAAAACCUUGAGUUGAAAUUUGGCAGAAAAAAUUGUGGGUUUGGAGAAGAAGAAGAGCACUUUGUAUUUAAAUUUAAAAAAUCAAAAAUUUCAAAACUGAAAGUUACUCAAAACCCUAAACAAUCUAAUAAUUGGAGUUAUAGAAAAGAAAUAUGAGUUUAGAAAUAAAUAAAACAAAAUAAAUUUGCAAAACAAUUUCUAGGCAAAACAACAUGAAGUUGUUGAUGUGAUUGAAGGUGUUCUUCAACGGUGGAAAACAAAUAGAAUUUAAUUUGAAAAUUUUAAGAUUUUUUAAAUAAUAAAAAAUUGCAUUAGUUUAAAAACUUUAGUUUUAAUUUUAAGAUAUUUUUAGAUUUAUACAUAUUUAAUUAUUUUUAGAUUUUUUAGAUUUAAAUGAAGUUACAAUUAUUUUUGAAAACGGUACCUCUACAUUUUUGAAGGUACAAGGAAAUAAAAUAUGGAUUUGGUAUCGAUACUUCGGCCCGAGUAUCAAUGCUCGAGGUAAGUUUAUUGAUACCUUGCGAAAGGUACCAAUAAUUUUUUUAUAUUUUGAUAUUUGGUAAGAAACAUAAUGUUAGUUUGGUAUCGAUUUUCCAUGAGAUAUCAAUACCACUUAAAGAAAAUAUCGAUAGCCCUAGGACAGUAUCAAUACCUAUGUAACAGUUUUAGAAAUUUUGCAACUGGGCCCAUUUGUAGGUUUGAUUGAUGUUUUUAAUACCCUUAGUGUAUGUAUGGCAUGUUUUAAUGAUAAGAAGUGGUUGAACGACUACAACUCAUACGUAGGAUUGAAUAAAGAUGAUGAUUGGUUACUUGUGAAAUUGUUUGCUAAGUAAAUGAUGCAUGAUGGUGGUGUAACAUCCUAAUAUUUCGGCUUGGCGACUGAGCCGAGUAUAGGGUGUUACAAUGUGUUCCACAAGUUUCAUCAGCAAUCCUCAAUGCAUCUAAUUAAUUGGGAAAAUUGAGAAAAUAGAAAAAGCUUCAGAUGGUCAAGAAGAUGUAACAUGAUGAGUACCUCUUUGCACCGUCAAGAAUUUUAGUAAGUCUCCAAAUUCAUUCAUUAACCCUCCUUCCUGUUAAAUAUUUAUCAUUAAUUUUAUUAAAUUAAAACAUAAAUUUUUAUAAAUCUAAAGUGUAAUUUAUGAGCCGAGUUAUUCAAUCCAAAAAAAAAAAUCAGCCAAGACUCUUUGGACAAAUUGCUUGAGUAAAACCAGAAAAUGAAUAACAAUUUUGAUGGAUUUUGAUUACAAAUGAAUUGAGGCAUAAUGCCAUUACAUAUACCAUGCAUUCAGCUGGUCAAAAUGAGACAGACAUCACCUAAUCAUCAACCUAACUCCACUAAGUAGCCUUGAAACUUAUGAAAACAUAACUUGCACACAUAGGUACGCUGAUUUAUCAAUCUAUCAGCACCUAAUUACAUCAAACAUGUUACCAACUUAGUUCAAAUCAAACUAAGCAAGAAAACAUUAACUUAAAGUAACAAAAAAUGAACAGCAGCAUGAACUUCAGCUGCAACUGCAUGGCUGGAGCAGCUCUGCUUCUUGUCUGCAUGCCGGCCAACUUCAACAAGAUCUGAGUAAGGCUAAUUUGUCCAGAAGUUGCAUCAUGCAAAACUAUUUAAUGGCUUUUAGGUAGCUUUGUCAACGGCAAAAAAAAUGAGAAAAUUAGUCAAAUUUCUUCCAUUUUUAUCUUUAAAAAUUUGGUUUUGUGCGUCAACAUGAAGUACAUGUGGCACGUACAUGCAAACUGUCUGAUUAUUUAGACAUCUACACUAGUUUUUAAAGGUAAAAAUAGAAGAAAAUUUUAAUAAACAAGACCAAUUAACUCUUUUAUCUAGCAUACAAGAAUUAUUCUAUACAUCUUUCAAUAAAUGGGGAAAAUUACAUCCACACAUUCUCCACAUUUCAGACCUGUAAUUCUAGCCAAUUGGUCACAAGCAUACAUGUCCCAUUUCAAUAUUCAAAGGUCUGCUUUGAUUAUUUUAUUUUGUGUUCUGUUGUCGCCCCAAAAUAGUUCCACUUGGCACAUCUCCAUACAUUUCAAACAUACCAAAAAUCUGCUGGCAAGCAAUACAAGACAAGUUCCAGCCACUUCAACAUUUGGCUCCUGUUCAUUGCCAAAAGAAAAAAAUAAACAUUUUUUAUAUUUAAUUGAAGGUCAAAAACACAUAAAAAGACAACCGGACAGCUAAUAUUUCAUCCAAUCUUCACAACAUGUCUGUGUGCGUGCAGAUCCUUCACUUCCCAGAAGCCUUUAGCGCGUAUUCUAUUAUAAAAUCACAGAUUACUAUUUAAAUGAUAAAUAAAUUAUUUAAAGUAUGAAAAUAUACAUGUUUUUUUUUUAUUGGCUUAAGGGCGUAAAAAAUCCUUAAAUUUUUUUUUUAAAAAAGACAAUUAAAUUUCUCCUUUUUUUACACUCAAUUGAGCACUUAAAGUUUUAAAAUGCAUCAAAAAUACUCUCAAACUUCUUCCGAAAAAACAAUUAAAUCCUUAUUUUCUUUCCCACUCAAUUGGGUGCUUGAACUUUUUCAUAAUAUUUUUUUGGGCGAUUUAAUGAACCAUACAAGUUUCAAGGCUAAAAGAGGCAAAAGAAAAAGAAAAAGAAAAAAAAGCUAAAAUGACUUUUUGUUUGUAAAGUCAAAAAAUACCAAAUAAAUCAUUAUGUCUUUUUAGUUUUAAUUUUUUACUUGAUUAAAAGAGAAAUAAUUAACGAAUGAAAAAUAGCUAUUCCUAAAUAAAUUUAUCAGAAUUUAUAACAAAUGAGAUUUUAGAUUUGAAGUAUGAGGUUAUAUAUAUUAUAUAAGUAUAUGAUGAAGUUGGUUCAGCAUGCAGCAAACUCGACAGCAUGCAGGCCAUCAAGACCAAGUCAUGCAGGAGCUGCUGGAACGAGCUGAACUAUUCCUAUUUUGUUCAACUUGUAACCUUAAGUUAAUGUAAUGUACUUUAGUUCAUUUAGAACUAUGUUAGGUUUAUGAUUGAUGUAUUUUGAUGACAAUUAAGCUGUUAAGUCAGCUUUGUUUAAGUGUGCAAGCUUAGUUUUUCAAGUUUCAAUGUAUUAGUGGUGGUAGGUGAUGAUUAGGUAUCAUUAUGCAGAUUUUGACAAGCAAAUUGCUUGGUUUAUGUAUUGGCAUUAUGCCAUUGUUCAAUGUAUGAAUAGAAUCAGUUUUUGUUCAUCAAUUUCCUCUCCAUUUUCUUAGCUUUUUCUUUCUUUCUUUAACUCGAAAUUGUUUGUUUGCUCAGCAAGUUUUAAGGCUUGCUCGACAAGAUACUUGCUGAGUCUGCUUGAUUCUGUUCUUGCAUCAACAAUUGGUAUCUAGAGCCUAUUUCUUAAGGGAUCUGUUACUCAAUUCCAUGGCUUCAUCAAGCUUUUCACCAGCUGCACCUCAAGUCUUCAAUGGAGAAGGCUAUCACAUAUGGGUGGUCAAAAUGAAGACCUACCUGCAGGCUUUCGAUCUGUGGGAGGUGGUCAACUUUGAUGUUGAACCAGAGCCACUUAGAGCUAAUCCAACAGUGGCUCAGAUCAGGCAGCAUGCUGAUGAAAGGACCAAGAGGCACAAAGCUAUGUCUUGCAUCCAAAACUCAGUGUCUGAUGUGAUUUUCACAAGGAUUAUGGCCUGUGAAUCACCAAAACAGGCCUGGGAUAAGUUGCAGGAAGAGUUUCAAGGGACUGAGAGGACAAGGCAGCAACAGUUGUUAAAUUUGAGGAGAGAUUUCGAGAAUUUGAAGAUGAAGGAAGAAGAAACUGUCAAGCAAUAUUCUGACAGGAUUAUGGCCGUGGUUAACAGCAUCAGGCUCCUUGGAGAGCAGUUCAAUGAAGCUAGGAUAGUGGAGAAGGUUAUAGCAACUCUGCCUGAGAGGUAUGAGGCAAAAAUCUCAUCUCUCGAGGACUCAAGGGAUCUGUCCACCAUCUCCCUGACAGAGUUGAUCAAUGCUCUAUAUGCUCAAGAGCAGAGGAGAGCAAGCAGACUGGAGGAGCACCAAGAAGGUGCCUUUCAGGCAAGAACAAAUACUGCCUACAAAGGCAAGAAGGCCUGGAGAGACAAGCCAAAGAAUGAUGCUGCAAGGAGAGAAGGUCAGACUUGCAAGCACUGUAGAAAGGCUGGUCAUUCAGAAGAAAAAUGCUGGUUCAAUCCAGAUGCUGUGUGUCAGCAUUGUAAGAAGAAGGGUCAUGUUGAGAGAGUCUGCAAGAGUAAGACCAAAUCGAGGCAGAAUCAGUUUCAACAGAUGAAAGCUGAGGCUCGAGUAGCUAAGGAGGACAGUGACCAAGAGGAGCAAGUCUUUGCUGUGUCAUGCUCAGCUGCUCAGGAAAAGUCCUCAUCUGGUUGGCUUCUAGACAGUGGAUGUACCAACCACAUGACACCUGAUGCUGCAAUCUUCAAGUCUUUAGACAGAAGCUGUAGAACUAAAGUCAAGAUAGGAAAUGGUCAUUUUAUUCAAGCUGAAGGCAAGGGUGAUGUGCUGAUAUGCACCCUUACAGGUACCAAAGUGAUUUCAAAUGUGCUGUUGGUGCCUGAAAUUGACAGAAACCUGCUCAGCAUAGCUCAGUUGCUGGAAAAAGGUUAUUCAGUUGUGUUUAAAGACCACCAUUGCCAAAUCAGUGAUCCAAGUGGAUCCAAACUGAUGGCAGUCCCUAUGGCUGACAAGAGCUUUGUGGUUGACUGGACAAAAAAGGCAGACAUUGCCUACACAGCCACUUCAGAUGAAUCCAAGCUGUGGCAUCAAAGAUUGGGACAUGCCAACUUCAGAUCGAUGGCUCGAAUGGUCAGAGAGGACCUGGCUGAAAAUUUCAUCAACUCAGUUGACCAUGAUGAUGUAUGUGAUGUAUGUCAGCUAGGAAAGCAGGCCAGACUCCCAUUUCCCUCGAAUCAAGCCUGGAGAGCCUCUGAAAAACUCCAACUGGUGCAUACUGAUGUGUGUGGCCCUAUGAAGACUGAGUCAUUAAGUGGAAACAGGUAUUUCAUACUGUUCAUUGAUGAUUUCUCGAGAUAUUGCUGGAUUUACUUUUUAAAACAGAAAUCUGAAGUGGCCUCAGUGUUUUGGAAGUUCAAGACUGCUUCUGAGACUGAAACAGGCUGCAAGCUGAAGACCAUAAGGUCUGAUAAUGGGACUGAGUACACCUCAGCUCAGUUCCAAGCCUUCUGUGAUAAGGCAGGCAUCAAACAUCAACUUACCAACACAUAUACACCUCAGCAGAAUGGGGUAAGUGAAAGGAAGAAUAGGAGUUUGAUGGAUAUGGCCAGGUGCUUGAUGAUUCAGAAAAAUCUGCCUAAAGCACUAUGGGCAGAAGCAGUUAACACUGCAACAUACAUUCAAAAUAGACUUCCAACCAAGGCUUUGGAUCAAAAGACCCCAUUCGAGGCCUGGUUUAGCUUCAAGCCAUCAUUGGCUCAUCUGAAGGUCUUUGGAUGCAUCAGUUAUGCACAUGUACCUGCUGUUAAAAGGGACAAAUUGUCUGAAAGGGCUCGACCUGGUGUUUUGGUGGGGUAUAGCACUGUUAAGAAGGGCUAUAGGAUUUUAGAUCCUACAACAAACAAAGUAUCAAUAAGCAGGGAUGUGGUAUUUGAUGAGAGGUCAUGUUGGAACUGGGAAAGACAUGAACCUGAAGAAGUUUCUGAAGAACUUGCAGUAGACCAAGCUGAGCCAGAUCAAAAUGUCCCUGAAAUGGAUAUUGAUGAUGAACCAGUCAGAGGAACAAGGUCAUUGGCUGAGGUUUAUGAAAGGGCUCAUGUAGCCAUAGCUGAACCAAGCAACUUUGAAGAGGCUGAGGCUCAACAAGGGUGGAAGCAGGCAAUGGCUGAGGAGAUCAGCAUGAUUGAGAAGAACCAGACCUGGGAAUUGGUUGAAAGGCCAGUCAAAAGGAAAGUGAUUGGGGUGAAAUGGGUGUACAAAGCCAAGCAGAAUGCUGAUGGUACCUUGAACAAGUUAAAAGCAAGGCUAGUGGUCAAGGGGUUCAGUCAGAGGUAUGGCUUGGACUACUUGGAGACCUUUGCACCAGUGGCCAGGCUCGACACCAUCAGACUGCUGAUUGCCUUAGCAGCACAGCUCGAAUGGAAGAUUCAUCAACUUGAUGUGAAAUCAGCCUUUCUGAAUGGUUUCUUAGAUGAAGACAUCUAUGUUGAACAACCACAAGGGUUUGAAAUAGCUGGCAGAGAGCAUAUGGUCUACAAAUUGAAGAAGGCCCUAUAUGGCUUAAAACAGGCUCCAAGGGCCUGGUACAGCAGAAUCGAUGGCUACCUGACUGAUCUGGGAUUCAAUCGAAGCAAGAGUGAGCCAACACUGUAUGUCAAGAAGCAAGGGACACAAACACAACUCAUUGUGUCCCUAUAUGUUGAUGACCUGCUGGUGACAGGAGGAGAUCAAGCAGUGCUGGUUAGUUUCAAGACCAAGAUGCAGGAGGUGUUUGAAAUGUCUGAUCUUGGGGAGAUGUCCUAUUUUCUUGGAAUGGAGGUGACUCAAGCACAGAAUGGGAUAUUUUUAAGUCAGAAGAGCUUUGCCACAAAGAUUCUGACCAAGUUCUCCAUGCAAAACAGCAAACCAACUAAAACACCUGUUGCUGUUGGAGAAAAACUAUCGAGCCAAGGAGAUUUUGAGAAGGUAUGUGAAACUACCUACAGGAGUCUAGUUGGUUGUUUGCUAUACUUGACUGCCACUAGACCAGACAUAAUGUAUGCUGUAGGAUUGCUCUCAAAGUUCUUGCAUUGUUGCAAUGAGAAGCAUUUCCAGACUGCCAAGAGAGUGCUCAGAUAUGUCAAAGGCACUUUGGACUAUGGCUUAAGGUACAGCAGAAAAGGAAAUCUAAAUCUAGUUGGGUACACUGAUAGUGACUGGGCUGGAUCGAUAGAUGACAUGAAAAGCACCUCAGGGUAUGCUUUUAGACUUGGUUCAGCCAUGUUCUGCUGGAGCUCGAAGAAGCAAAGUCUGGUGGCACAAUCUACGGCUGAAGCAGAGUAUGUGGCAGCAGCAAGUGCUGUCAACCAAGCCAUUUGGCUUAGGAAAAUCCUGGCUGAUUUGAAUAUGGAUCAAAUGGAAGCAACAGAGAUCUUCUGUGACAAUCAAUCUGCAGUUGCAAUUGCUAAAAAUCCAGUGUUCCAUGGUAGAACAAAACAUUUCAGCAUCAAGUUACAUGUUGUUCGAGAAAUGGAGCAAGCUCAGGAAGUAAAGCUGAUCCACUGUAAUUCAGAGGAUCAACUUGCUGACAUUUUAACCAAAGCUCUUAGUGUCACAAGGUUUGAAUAUCUAAGAAAGAUGCUAGGUGUUUGCUCCAUGCAAACCAAGGAGGAGUGAUGAAGUUGGUUCAGCAUGCAGCAAACUCGACAGCAUGCAGGCCAUCAAGACCAAGUCAUGCAGGAGCUGCUGGAACGAGCUGAACUAUUCCUAUUUUGUUCAACUUGUAACCUUAAGUUAAUGUAAUGUACUUUAGUUCAUUUAGAACUAUGUUAGGUUUAUGAUUGAUGUAUUUUGAUGACAAUUAAGCUGUUAAGUCAGCUUUGUUUAAGUGUGCAAGCUUAGUUUUUCAAGUUUCAAUGUAUUAGUGGUGGUAGGUGAUGAUUAGGUAUCAUUAUGCAGAUUUUGACAAGCAAAUUGCUUGGUUUAUGUAUUGGCAUUAUGCCAUUGUUCAAUGUAUGAAUAGAAUCAGUUUUUGUUCAUCAAUUUCCUCUCCAUUUUCUUAGCUUUUUCUUUCUUUCUUUAACUCGAAAUUGUUUGUUUGCUCAGCAAGUUUUAAGGCUUGCUCGACAAGAUACUUGCUGAGUCUGCUUGAUUCUGUUCUUGCACCAACAGUAUACCUGUUUUUAUGGAAUCGGUGGAUUAUAUUUUCGACAGUCUUCUUCCCCAAGCGUAGUGAAUAGAGCACAAUUUUGUUCUUUUGGAUGGAAAAGAAUUUCUACAUUAAUUAGAUUUGGUUGACAGGCAAAUGAAUAGAUACACACAUUUUUUACGUGUUAUUAAGGAAGAAGACUAAGUCAAUCUACUUUGUAAUCUCAUCAAUCUUAAUUUUUUUAGUUGUUUAGGGAGUUCAAAUGAAAUACAAGAUUUUGCUAUAAAAAAAAAAAAGCAUCCAAUUUUAAGAAUGAAAAAUAUACGGUAAAAAGAAGACUAAUGGUUGUUGAUGAUUGUGAAAAAUACAAAAAUUAUUUGUUGCCUAUAAAUACCAUUCCUAUCCUUCAUCUUCCUCUACAAACAUAACAUGGCCUCCUAUCUCUUUCUCUGCCUAUUCCUCUUCUUUCCCCAUCUUUAUGCUUCUUUUUCUUCUUCAGGAUCUCACUCCUGCUCUUCGCUAAUCCAGUUCAAGAAUUCUUUUUCCAUCACUCAGACAGAUGUUGCUUCUUCUUAUUGCGAUGAUCAAUCUUAUCCCAAGACAGAUUCAUGGAAGGAGGGUACAGAUUGCUGCUCAUGGGAUGGGGUCACUUGUGACCACCUAAAUGCUCAUGUUAUUGUCCUUGACUUGAGUUGCAGUUGGCUAUAUGGCAACUUCCCUUCCAAUACCACUCUCUUCCUUCUUCCUCACCUUCAAAAACUCAACCUUGCCUACAAUGAUUUUAAUCUUUCCAAAAUUCCAUCCGAGUUCGGUCGGUUUAUAAGCCUAUUCUACCUCAACCUUUCCAAUACAGGGUUUGCAGGAGAAGUCCCAUCCCAAGUCUCCCACCUGUCAAAAUUGGUUUCACUUGAUCUCUCCUGUCGGGCUGAUGCACAAACAAUUGACAAACAUGCUCUGGAGGGACUUGUUCACAACCUAACCGAGGUCAGACAUCUGUUUUUGGAUGGAAUCAACAUGUCUUCUGUUAAUGCUCAUGUCUUCAUGAAUCUAUCCUCUUCUCUAAGGUCUCUCAGUCUUGCUUUUUGUGAUUUGCAAGGAAAAUUCCCAAAAAACAUUUUUGAUUUGCCAAACCUCAAUCUCCUCAACUUGGGAGGCAACCAAAACCUCAAUCUUGAUCCUUUGAAGUUCAAUCGGAGCAGCAAUCUUGAACAUUUGGAUCUGUCGUGGAUGUCCUCCUCUACAGAAAUUGAUUCAGUUGAUAAUCUACAGGCCUUAAAGUACUUAGAUCUAUCAGGAAAUUCUUUCUUUCAAGGAUUGUCUGUCUCAAUCACAAAUUUAUCAUCUUUGGAGUACUUGAUUCUUAGAGGCGCAAAUGUUUUUGGAGGAUUGCCUGACUUGACAGGGAAUCUUGUGUCCUUGAAGUUUUUAGAUCUCUCCCAGUCCAACUUAUCAGGACCGGUUCCAAGAUCACUGGGAACCUCUUGCAACUCACUCAUUUAGACUUGUCGCAGAACCAAUUGAGUGGACAAAUUCCAAGAUUAUUGGGGAACCUCUUUCAACUCACUCAUUUAGACUUGUCGUGG
RNAcentral lists this long non-coding RNA (26861 nucleotides) under Gossypium barbadense (sea-island cotton). RNAcentral's name for it is "long non-coding RNA (GBAR_LNC023018)". The record is from RNAcentral. Lineage: Eukaryota; Viridiplantae; Streptophyta; Magnoliopsida; Malvales; Malvaceae.